UAUUAUUUUAGAUGUAAAUUAUUUGAACUUGAGUAGUAUUAGUUAGAAUCUUGAAACUUAAAGAAUUUGGCGGUAUUUUAGUCUAUUUAGAGGAAUCUGUCCCAUGAUCGAUGAUCCACGUUGGACCUUACUUAGUUUAAAGAAAUAUGUAUAUCGCCGUUUAGAGCUAAUUCUAUAAGGGUUAAUUUUUUCAAUAUUUGUAAGAUAAGUUUUCAGGUCAAGGUGCAGUUUAUAAUUAAGUGGGAGAUGGAUUACAAUAUUAAUAAAGUAUACGGAUUGUUGUUUGAAAUAAUUACAUGAAGGCGGAUUUAAUAGUAAUAUUAUAAAGAUUGUUAAUAUGAUUAUAGCUCUAAAAUAUGUACACAUCGCCCGUCGCUCUCGUUAUUUUAAGGCGAG
RNAcentral lists this ribosomal RNA (396 nucleotides) under Blattella germanica (German cockroach). Its description in RNAcentral is "partial 12S ribosomal RNA". It matches the Rfam family "Microsporidia small subunit ribosomal RNA", at positions 752 to 1222 of the family's 1311-position model. The record is from RNAcentral. Lineage: Eukaryota; Metazoa; Arthropoda; Insecta; Blattodea; Blattellidae.